UACGUAGGGUGCGAGCGUUGUCCGGAAUUAUUGGGCGUAAAGGGCUCGUAGGCGGUUUGUCGCGUCGGGAGUGAAAACCCAGGGCUUAACCCUGGGCUGGCUUCCGAUACGGGCAGACUAGAGGUAUGCAGGGGAGAACGGAAUUCCUGGUGUAGCGGUGAAAUGCGCAGACAUCAGGAGGAACACCGGUGGCGAAGGCGGAUCUCUGGGCCUUACCUGACGCUCAGGUGCGAAAGCUAGGGGAGCGAACAGG
This 253-nucleotide ribosomal RNA is filed under the name uncultured bacterium. RNAcentral describes it as "partial 16S ribosomal RNA". It matches the Rfam family "Bacterial small subunit ribosomal RNA", at positions 524 to 776 of the family's 1533-position model. The record is from RNAcentral.